CAUCUGAAACAUGGCAUGUCUGGACUAGCAAUAACAUUGGGGGGAGGGGAAGUUGUUACUGCAAAAAUUAGGUCCCAGAAGGCCUGUGGUUUAAAAGAAAACCUUUAUUUUGUUCUUGUUUUCCUUUUCUGAGGUAAUCCUUUCUUGUGGACUUCUGUUUGAGGCUCUUCUGAUAACUGCACUUUUUUGAUAGGCACAGUGUUCAUGAGACAGCUCUUAAUAGGUCACUACUACUACCGCGGGCCAGUGGACUUCGCUGGGAAUGCAGAAGGAAGUCCACACAAAAUAAGCUAUGAGACUAGAAGAGAAAAGAUUUUGGAAGGAAGAGCAAAUCCCUAGACGGAAAUGGCAGAGUCAUCUGGCUGCAAGUAAGCUUCGGUAAGUUUGCUGUACAUUAGUCAAAAUUA
This is a long non-coding RNA of Strigops habroptila (Kakapo), 407 nucleotides long. RefSeq lists it as uncharacterized. Lineage: Eukaryota; Metazoa; Chordata; Aves; Psittaciformes; Psittacidae. The transcript has 3 exons. The record is from RefSeq and is a predicted model, not a curated record.